ACGAACGCUGGCGGCGUGCUUAACACCUGCAAGUCGAACGGAAAGGCUCCAGCUUGCUGGCGUACUCGAGUGGCGAACGGGUGAGUAACACGUGGGUAAUCUGCCCUGCACUCUGGGAUAAGCCUGGGAAACUGGGUCUAAUACUGGAUAUGACCUUUCUCCUUAUGGGGUUUGGUGGAAAGUUUUUCGGUGUAGGAUGAGCCCGCGGCCUAUCAGCUUGUUGGUGGGGUGAUGGCCUACCAAGGCGACGACGGGUAGCCGGCCUGAGAGGGUGAUCGGCCACAUUGGGACUGAGAUACGGCCCAGACUCCUACGGGAGGCAGCAGUGGGGAAUAUUGCACAAUGGGCGGAAGCCUGAUGCAGCGACGCCGCGUGAGGGAUGACGGCCUUCGGGUUGUAAACCUCUUUCAGCAGGGACGAAGCGUAAGUGACGGUACCUGCAGAAGAAGCACCGGCUAACUACGUG
RNAcentral lists this ribosomal RNA (466 nucleotides) under uncultured bacterium. RNAcentral describes it as "partial 16S ribosomal RNA". It matches the Rfam family "Bacterial small subunit ribosomal RNA", at positions 29 to 507 of the family's 1533-position model. The record is from RNAcentral.